RNAcentral lists this ribosomal RNA (774 nucleotides) under uncultured Neocallimastigales. RNAcentral's name for it is "partial large subunit ribosomal RNA". It matches the Rfam family "Eukaryotic large subunit ribosomal RNA", at positions 24 to 616 of the family's 3401-position model. The record is from RNAcentral. Lineage: Eukaryota; Fungi; Neocallimastigomycota; Neocallimastigomycetes; Neocallimastigales.
UACGACUACAUAUCAGGCAUAUCAAUAAGCGGAGGAAAAGAAACUAACAAGGAUUCCCUUAGUAACGGCGAGUGAAGCGGGAAGAGCUCAAAUUUGAAAUCUUCAAGGUUUUACCUUGACGAAUUGUAGUUUAAAGAAGUGUUUUCUGUUGAAGUUUUGGUAAAAGUUCUUUGGAAUAGGACAUCAUAGAGGGUGAGAAUCCCGUAUUUGACCAUUAUUUUCAGCUGUGUGAUACACUUUCAAAGAGUCGGAUUGUUUGGGAAUGCAGUCCAAAAUGGGUGGUAAAUUUCAUCUAAAGCUAAAUAUUGGCGAGAGACCGAUAGCGAACAAGUACCGUGAGGGAAAGAUGAAAAGAACUUUGAAAAGAGAGUUAAACAGUACGUGAAAUUGUCAAAAGGGAAGCGUUUGACACCAGUGUUGUUUUCUCGAAAAUCAAUUAAAAAGAGUUGGAUUUUGUGUUGUAUUGACCUUAACAGCUUGCUUCACUCUUUUCCAGCUUUUUUUAAUGCACUUUUCGUUUAACAAGUCAACAUCAGUUUCUUUUGUUGUAAAAGGGUCAUUGGAAGGUGGCUUUCUCUUCGGAGAAAGUGUUUAUAGCCUUUGAUCUCUGCAAUCGGAGAGACUGAGGUCUGCAGCGUAGAUCCUUCGGGGUUAGAUACAUUUGUGCUAAGCUACAGCUUUUCAUAGACAACUUGUUGACUAUGUUUAGUCUUGUAACUUACCCGCUUAUGCUAUUUUACCUACGCUUAGGAUGUUGAGCGCAUGUCUCUCUCU